Molecule: long non-coding RNA, 411 nt
Organism: Plectropomus leopardus (leopard coralgrouper)
Lineage: Eukaryota; Metazoa; Chordata; Actinopteri; Perciformes; Serranidae
Source: RefSeq, a predicted model, not a curated record
CCCACUUCCAGGUCGCCUCACUUCCUCCUCUUCGCCAUCGCCUGUGCAGACGUCCGAUGGGCGGACGCUGCGUCUAUGGGGCUGGCUCGCCCGUAAUCUGCCAUUCAACGUGCUAUUGGUCAGCCACGUUUUGCCACUGCCGCUGGGAGACCUGAAGUGCUCCGACCCUCUCCAGUGUGUGUGCGUCAUCGACGCUGCCUGAUCGAUGUUAACUGAUGUGCGGUGUGACGCUGUUUGGAAGACCCGCUGCUGCUUUGCUGCAUGUUUUGCUUAGUGUGCUGCUCGCAUCACUCCUGUGCUGGCUUUAUUCUGCUGGGCUUUGCUCGUGCUCGCUGUAGGCGGGAUGUUCUGUGCCCACCGACAGAACUUCUUCACCCCUAUUUAGUUAGCUCCUUCUUUCUUUUGCCUCAG